GGGGGUGCCCAGGUUUCGACGGGGAUUGGAAGCGAAGGUUGCAUGCCGGGGACGCCAGUUGGCCUCGUUAAAAAACUGGCACACAUACAAACGCCGACAACGACGUUUCGUACGCACUGGCAGCUUAAUUGCUGUCACGUCUCUUCUCUCAUCGCCCAUGUGGGUUUAGAGACGUCAAUUUAGUGGGAUAGCCGAAGCAAGUGUCUGUGGUGCCGAGGCGAAACCAAAGCAGACUCGCCGCUUACUUAUCCUGUCCAUGGGAGCCGUAACCGGUUAAAUUCAAUACAUGGACUAAGCAUGUAGAAGCCUUACGUGAAAGAUUUUCGGACGCGGGUUCGAUUCCCGCCACCUCCACCA
This is a non-coding RNA of Geoalkalibacter ferrihydriticus DSM 17813, 357 nucleotides long. It matches the Rfam family "transfer-messenger RNA". From Rfam's summary of the family: Bacterial tmRNA, also known as 10Sa RNA or SsrA, is named for its dual tRNA and mRNA-like properties. Its role is to liberate the mRNA from a stalled ribosome. The record is from Rfam. Lineage: Bacteria; Pseudomonadati; Thermodesulfobacteriota; Desulfuromonadia; Desulfuromonadales; Geoalkalibacteraceae.